GGGGAUAUAACUCAAUUGGUAGAGUGUAUGCUUUGCAAGCAUGAAGUUGAGAGUUCAAUUCUCUCUAUCUCCU
RNAcentral lists this transfer RNA (73 nucleotides) under Desmarestia aculeata. Its description in RNAcentral is "tRNA-Ala". It matches the Rfam family "tRNA". Rfam says of the family: Transfer RNA (tRNA) molecules are approximately 80 nucleotides in length. Their secondary structure includes four short double-helical elements and three loops (D, anti-codon, and T loops). Lineage: Eukaryota; Phaeophyceae; Desmarestiales; Desmarestiaceae. The record is from RNAcentral.